Molecule: long non-coding RNA, 354 nt
Organism: Lampris incognitus (smalleye Pacific opah)
Lineage: Eukaryota; Metazoa; Chordata; Actinopteri; Lampriformes; Lampridae
Exons: 3
Source: RefSeq, a predicted model, not a curated record
UAGUUUUACUUUCACUUUGUGACCUCGGGGUAGAAAUGUGUAGCAGCAGGAGCAGUAAAAGUGGGUUGUAAUCCACAGCAACACAACAGUCUCAUAGUGGGAUAUUCUUCCAUGACUUGGUUUUAGUGGAUCUCUGUUGCUGUUGACGUCUUCCUGCUUCAUCUAGCGGACAAUCAGAAUAAUACAUCCAGGAGCCACCAAAGAGAAUAAGAAGCAUCUUCUCUCUGUGUGUCCUCUACUGAUGAAGACAGAAGGUCUGUUUGACUUGAUGUGGACCUGAGUUCACCAGUGGUAUCCAGACAGAACCAACAGCAGCAAACAGGUUAUAGUGUGUUCUCUCCUCAUUCUGUUGGU